RNAcentral lists this ribosomal RNA (859 nucleotides) under Nectria synnematosa. Its description in RNAcentral is "Nectria sp. RHP-2022a partial large subunit ribosomal RNA". It matches the Rfam family "Eukaryotic large subunit ribosomal RNA", at positions 75 to 965 of the family's 3401-position model. The record is from RNAcentral. Lineage: Eukaryota; Fungi; Ascomycota; Sordariomycetes; Hypocreales; Nectriaceae.
UUGCCCUAGUAACGGCGAGUGAAGCGGCAACAGCUCAAAUUUGAAAUCUGGCCCUCGUGGUCCGAGUUGUAAUUUGUAGAGGAUGCUUUUGGUUAGGUGCCUUCCGAGUUCCCUGGAACGGGACGCCAUAGAGGGUGAGAGCCCCGUCUGGUUGGACACCGAGCCUCUGUAAAGCUCCUUCGACGAGUCGAGUAGUUUGGGAAUGCUGCUCUAAAUGGGAGGUAUAUGUCUUCUAAAGCUAAAUAUUGGCCAGAGACCGAUAGCGCACAAGUAGAGUGAUCGAAAGAUGAAAAGCACUUUGAAAAGAGGGUUAAAAAGUACGUGAAAUUGUUGAAAGGGAAGCGCUUGUGACCAGACUUGGGCCCGGUCAAUCAUCCAGGGUUCUCCCUGGUGCACUUGGCCGGCCCAGGCCAGCAUCAGUUUGUCGCGGGGGAUAAAGACGUUGGGAAUGUGGCUCCUCCGGGAGUGUUAUAGCCCUUCGUGUAAUACCCUGCUUCGGACUGAGGUUCGCGCAUCUGCAAGGAUGCUGGCGUAAUGGUCAUCAGCGACCCGUCUUGAAACACGGACCAAGGAGUCGUCUUCGUAUGCGAGUGUUCGGGUGUCAAACCCCUACGCGUAAUGAAAGUGAACGCAGGUGAGAGCUUCGGCGCAUCAUCGACCGAUCCUGAUGUUCUCGGAUGGAUUUGAGUAAGAGCAUACGGGGCCGGACCCGAAAGAAGGUGAACUAUGCCUGUAUAGGGUGAAGCCAGAGGAAACUCUGGUGGAGGCUCGCAGCGGUUCUGACGUGCAAAUCGAUCGUCAAAUAUGGGCAUGGGGGCGAAAGACUAAUCGAACCUUCUAGUAGCUGGUUUCCGCCGAA